This 446-nucleotide ribosomal RNA is filed under the name uncultured bacterium. RNAcentral's name for it is "partial 16S ribosomal RNA". It matches the Rfam family "Bacterial small subunit ribosomal RNA", at positions 338 to 795 of the family's 1533-position model. The record is from RNAcentral.
CCUACGGGCGGCUGCAGUCGAGAAUCAUUCACAAUGGGGGAAACCCUGAUGGUGCGACGCCGCGUGGGGGAAUGAAGGUCUUCGGAUUGUAAACCCCUGUCAUGUGGGAGCAAAUUAAAAAGAUAGUACCACAAGAGGAAGAGACGGCUAACUCUGUGCCAGCAGCCGCGGUAAUACAGAGGUCUCAAGCGUUGUUCGGAAUCACGGGGCGUAAAGCGUGCGUAGGCUGUUUCGUAAGUCGUGUGUGAAAGGCGCGGGCUCAACCCGCGGACGGCACAUGAUACUGCGAGACUAGAGUAAGGGAGGGGGAACCGGAAUUCUCGGUGUAGCAGUGAAAUGCGUAGAUAUCGAGAGGAACACUCGUGGCGAAGGCGGGUUCCUGGACAUUAACUGACGCUGAGGCACGAAGGCCAGGGGAGCGAAAGGGAUUAGAUACCCCUGUAGUC